This 157-nucleotide ribosomal RNA is filed under the name Clusia croatii. RNAcentral's name for it is "5.8S ribosomal RNA". It matches the Rfam family "5.8S ribosomal RNA". Rfam says of the family: 5.8S ribosomal RNA (5.8S rRNA) is a component of the large subunit of the eukaryotic ribosome. It is transcribed by RNA polymerase I as part of the 45S precursor that also contains 18S and 28S rRNA. RNAcentral also lists the same sequence under 6 other names. Lineage: Eukaryota; Viridiplantae; Streptophyta; Magnoliopsida; Malpighiales; Clusiaceae. The record is from RNAcentral.
AAAACGACUCUCGGCAACGGAUAUCUCGGCUCUCGCAUCGAUGAAGAACGUAGCGAAAUGCGAUACUUGGUGUGAAUUGCAGAAUCCCGUGAACCAUCGAGUCUUUGAACGCAAGUUGCGCCCAAAGCCUUCUGGUUGAGGGCACGUCUGCCUGGGU